This 253-nucleotide ribosomal RNA is filed under the name uncultured bacterium. RNAcentral's name for it is "partial 16S ribosomal RNA". It matches the Rfam family "Bacterial small subunit ribosomal RNA", at positions 524 to 776 of the family's 1533-position model. The record is from RNAcentral.
UACGAAGGGGGCUAGCGUUGCUCGGAAUCACUGGGCGUAAAGGGUGCGCAGGCGGUUUUGUAAGCCAGAUGUGAAAUCCCCGGGCUUAACCUGGGAAUGGCAUUUGGGACUGCAAGGCUUGAGUGCGGCAGAGGAGACUGGAAUUCCUGGUGUAGCAGUGAAAUGCGUAGAUAUCAGGAGGAACACCGAUGGCGAAGGCAGGUCUCUGGGCUGACACUGACGCUCAUGCACGAAAGCGUGGGGAGCAAACAGG